GGUUACACUAUGACCACAUGGCUUCCUGUGAGUCCUCGACAGAAGUACAACCCAUGAGUGGAUCCACUGGGCCCCAGAAGUGGGUGUUCAUUCCCCCUGAAUUUGCCCUAACAUCAUAUGCUGCUACAGCUUCUUAAAAAGACUAGAAACCCAGCUAGUAUACAGAAUAUAAAAUGACACUUCGCAGCUGCCUCUUCCAUGAUGAGACCAGGCCAGGGAUUGCUGGGGGCGGUCAGCAUCUCCAGGGCAUGGCCCAGCCAAUGAAGCCACCUGCGUACUGCCUUGCCCUCUGCUGCCUGAUUUCUCAGAAACCAGUAAGGUAGGUGACAUUUCAGAGUGACUGUGGACCAGCAGUCAAUUCGAGUGUGGACACUUGUUGCCAGAACUCGGCUUCUGCUCACUGGUGCCAAAUAGAAACAUGGAGACAGAGUUUUGGGUGAAGAAGAAAAAAAUACUUUAUUGCUUUGUCAAGCAAAGGAGGGACACAGUGGGCCAGUGUCUCAAAGACUGUGCCCCCUUCAGGAGAGAUUGGGAGGUUGUUUUACAGUUUGGGGAGUGAAAAAUAGGGCCACAGAUAAGGAUCAGGGUAGAGGCAAGUUUGCAUUGUUUUCAAAGCUGGUGUUCAGUGGUCUGGUGGUCUUCUUUCUGGAAUAAAGAAUGCUUCAUUAACA
This 671-nucleotide long non-coding RNA is filed under the name Sus scrofa (pig). Its description in RNAcentral is "lncRNA (ENSSSCG00030049164.1)". Lineage: Eukaryota; Metazoa; Chordata; Mammalia; Artiodactyla; Suidae. The record is from RNAcentral.